GACAGAGGGUGCAAACGUUGCUCGGAAUUACUGGGCGUAAAGCGCGUGUAGGCGGGCCGAUAAGUCAGAUGUGAAAUCCCUGAGCUCAACUCAGGAACUGCAUUUGAAACUGCCGGUCUAGAGUGGUGGAGAGGGAAGCGGAAUUCCUGGUGUAGAGGUGAAAUUCGUAGAUAUCAGGAGGAACACCGGUGGCGAAGGCGACUUCCUGGACACCAACUGACGCUGAGACGCGAAAGCGUGGGGAGCAAAC
RNAcentral lists this ribosomal RNA (250 nucleotides) under uncultured bacterium. RNAcentral describes it as "partial 16S ribosomal RNA". It matches the Rfam family "Bacterial small subunit ribosomal RNA", at positions 524 to 773 of the family's 1533-position model. The record is from RNAcentral.